CUCUCUCUUCAGUCCUCUCCCAGCCUCCCACACUUUGCAUCUGCUUCUUCCCUUCUCCUUGAACUCAUCGGAACCACCAGUCCAUCAUACAAUGAUCAUUCUUUCAACAAGUUAAGCCUCAACACCGUGAAGAAGGGGAAGGGGAAAUUUGGAAGAAGAUCUGGGGGAUCAAGGGGAGUCUCAACCGUUUGCCGCCGGCUUGCGUUGGCAACAUGGUGAUGGCUACCAUGAAGAAGAGGAAGUCGGAUCUGAGGAAGAAGGUGCUGCCUCCCUUUUUAACAUUAUUGACUGAAUAUAUGUACACCGUGAAUGGGUUUUAUCCUUUCCCUUGCUUUUUAAUCUCCUUGUUUUGGUUCUUAGUGAUGAAGUGGGUGGAUUCAACUUGAAGGUAUCAAGGAUGGCAGUCAUGAUGCACGCCAAGUUAAACUGGAAGAACCUCAGCCAGAUCGACCUCAUCAAAGACUCUGAAUCUGGUUUCAGUGUUUGAAUCAAUCAUAGGUCUAUGCAUAUCAUCUCUAAUCGAAGAUCUCAAACUUCUUCACUGAGUAGGAGGCUGAAACAAUGACAGUGACUAAACCCAAGAAAAUCAUCGUUGACUCCGAUCAUCACUGAACCCAUCCAACUCCAGAAAGAUGAAAUCAAAUGAAUAAGAUCUGGAUGUAAGCCACCCAUCCCCAGAAAGACUCAAUAUUGGACCAGAAGCAAUUAUAAUUAAAAAAAAAAAGAAGCAAAAGCAAUUAUAAUAAUGAUUCCUACCCACUAUAUAUAUAUAUAUAUAUAUAUAUAUAAACAAGCCACGCACAUAAUUAAUCGAGGGUGUUAAGGGGAAAGCCACCCCUCUACAGAGCACUGACCCUAUUAAAAGUGGCUGAGGUGUGGCUAUGGCUGCUAGACACACACAUCUGUGUCCUUUGGGGUCAUUUUGUCACACAUGUUGUGUGUGGCUUUUGCCCAUAAUUGUAGUAGUGGCAGUCACCAAUUUUGUUUUCUUGUUUUUGGUUUUUGCGUUGUUCCUAUAGUAGAUUGAGUUGCUGGUUUUGUAAGUAGACGUGUAGGACCAUACAACAUUGAUUUUUAUGUUCUUGAGUUAAAUGCCUCACUAAGCUGCAUUGAUUUUUAUGUUCUUGAGUUAAAUGCCUCACUAAGCUGCAUUGAUUUUUAUGUUCUUGAGUUGCUGGUUUGUAUCAGUUUGUUGGUUUCCAGUGAAGUAAGUACUAUUUGACUGCUAGUUUUCAAGCUGUUUCUGUUUCCUGCUAUGUAUUCCCAUCUCUCAAAUUCUCAUAAUCUCAAUUGCAUCUCUUAAAUGGAACCAUUCAUUGUAUGAUCUUUGAUUACAAGAUAAAAAAAAAAAAAAAAAAGGAAAAACAACAUAAAUAGAAUUUUAUAUAUUAAAGUAAUAUUCAAAUUUGACAUCUCCAUUGGAGCUAAAAUUAGUUAAAAUGUUGCUAUAUCAAAUUUGCCAUGUCAUAUGUCAAAUUUAAAUUGACCAAAGCCAAAUAACAAAGCCAUUGGAGAUGCUCUUAGUAGUAUUUCCUGUAAAGAUUGUUUACUCCAAUUGAUUUACAUAUGUUAAUUUUCUGCACACAUUAUCUUAAUAGUUUGAUGAUAGAAUUCUAAAGAAAGUUUUUUUAUUAUAAUUUAUCUUAUCCUUUAAAGAAUGGUGGUUGAUAUGAUUAUCGAAAAGGAGAAGGUAAAAGGAAUGGUGCUUGAUAUGAUUCAUUUGCGUAGGUUCUCUUUGACUUAUGUUAUAUGGCUUUGUCAUAGACUGAAGUGUUAAUUUUUCAGGUGCAUAUAGAGGGGCUCAGGGUCAAGAAGAUGGAGAUAUAGUUGUGGGUUUCUCUCUGAAGAGUCUUCUGAGAUAAUGUUUUCUAUUCUGAAAUGGAAAUGCUCAUGGUCUAUGAUAUCGGCGGUUGCUUCUAUUGUGGGAUUGGUUUCACUAAUGUUGGAUUCAAAAGUUCAUCUCCUCUUCUUUCCAUUAGUUCCUUCUUUCGAGUACUUUAGUCAAACGUACUCAUAACUCUUGUGUCCCAAUCAAUGCUUCCACUGAAGCAAUUACGGAUCAUUUUAGGGGAAAUUUAGAACCUCCUAUUGACUUAGAAAAUCAUUUUCCAGCUGACUUGCACAAGGCAGUUGUUUUUCGUGGAGCACCAUGGAAGGCAGAGAUUGGCCGGUGGCUUGCUGGUUGUGGCUCAAUUUCUAAUAAAGUCAACAUUGUGGAGUUAAUAGGUGGGAGUGGCUGCAAAAAUGACUGCAGUGGUCGAGGUUUUUGUAAUCGUGAAUUGGGACAAUGUCGGUGCUUUCAUGGAUAUAGUGCUUCUCCUUGGUUAUAUUUUGUAACCAUACUACCACAGCAGAUAGCAGGCAUAGUGAGAAACUUGGUUUGCAUUAUAAUAUGACGAGUACAGCAGUAGUUAUGGAUGCUAGGAUAGGAAUGUCUUGUGAAAACAGAAGAACAAAUGGGAUAUAAGUAUGGCGAGGCUUGCUUUCGUUUAUGUUUCUAGUAUCAUGUACCAUUUAGACUUAAAUUUUUGUUUUAUUUCGACAUGUUAUGCAUAGAAAUACUUGAGAUGUUGUUAAGUACUUUGAGCAUCAAUAUUAAUCA
Rosa rugosa (rugosa rose) is the source of this 2602-nucleotide long non-coding RNA. RefSeq lists it as uncharacterized. The record is from RefSeq and is a predicted model, not a curated record. The transcript has 5 exons. NCBI's taxonomy places the organism in Eukaryota, Viridiplantae, Streptophyta, Magnoliopsida, Rosales, Rosaceae.